RNAcentral lists this unclassified non-coding RNA (354 nucleotides) under soil metagenome. RNAcentral's name for it is "partial contains 5.8S ribosomal RNA, internal transcribed spacer 2, and large subunit ribosomal RNA". The stretch from base 1 to 120 matches the Rfam family "5.8S ribosomal RNA", at positions 35 to 154 of the family's 154-position model. The record is from RNAcentral.
GAUGAAGAACGCAGCGAAAUGCGAUAAGUAGUGUGAAUUGCAGAAUUCAGUGAAUCAUCGAGUCUUUGAACGCACAUUGCGCCUCCUGGUAUUCCGGGAGGCAUGCCUGUUCGAGCGUCAUUAAAAUCACUCAAGCUUAGGUUUACCUAUUGCUUGGUCUUGGAGAUGGAAGCCAAUUUAUUGGAAUCCUCUUCGAAAUUCAAUGGCGAAGACCCUUGCUCUCCCAAGUGUAGUAAUAACUUAUGUCACUGAAGGAAGCGAGAAAUCUUCUGCCGUAACCCCCAUAUUUUCUAUGAUUGACCUCGGAUCAGGUAGGGAUACCCGCUGAACUUAAGCAUAUCAAUAAGCGGAGGA